Molecule: ribosomal RNA, 21 nt
Filed under: Bryoria capillaris
Lineage: Eukaryota; Fungi; Ascomycota; Lecanoromycetes; Lecanorales; Parmeliaceae
Description: partial 18S small subunit ribosomal RNA
Source: RNAcentral
UACCUGGUUGAUUCUGCCAAG